GAUGAACGCUGGCGGCGUGCCUAAUACAUGCAAGUCGAGCGAACAGACGAGGCGCUUGCUCCUCUGACGUUAGCGGCGGACGGGUGAGUCACACGUGUAUAACCUACCUAUAAGACUGGGAUCACUUCGGGAAACCGGAGCUAAUACCGGAUAAUAUAUUGAACCGCAUGGUUCAAUAGUGAAAGACGGUUUUGCUGUCACUUAUAGAUGGUUCCGGGCCGCAUUGGCUAGUUGGUAAGGUAACGGCUUACCAAGGCGACGAUGCGUAGCCGACCUGGGAGGGGGUUCGGCCACCCUGAAACUGAGACACGGUCCAGACCCCUAGGGAAGGCAGAGGUAGGGAAUCUUGCGCAAUGGGGGAAAGCCUGACGAAGCAACGCCGGGUGGGUGAUGAAGGUCUUCGGAUGGUAAAACUCUUUUAUUGGGGAAGAACGAAUGUGUAUGUAACUAUGCACGUCUGAACGGUACCUAAUCAGAAGGCCACGCCUAACUACGG
Molecule: ribosomal RNA, 496 nt
Filed under: uncultured bacterium
Lineage: Bacteria
Description: partial 16S ribosomal RNA
Rfam family: Bacterial small subunit ribosomal RNA
Source: RNAcentral